GGCAGCAGUGAGGAAUAUUGGUCAAUGGGCGCUAGCCUGAACCAGCCAAGUAGCGUGAAGGAUGACUGCCCUAUGGGUUGUAAACUUCUUUUAUAUGGGAAUAAAGUGCAGUAUGUAUACUGCUUUGCAUGUACCUUAUGAAUAAGGAUCGGCUAACUCCGUCCCAGCAGCCGCGGUAAUACGGAGGAUCCGAGCGUUAUCCGGAUUUAUUGGGUUUAAAGGGAGCGUAGGCGGGUUGUUAAGUCAGUUGUGAAAGUUUGCGGCUCACCCGUAAAAUUGCAGUUGAUACUGGCAUCCUUGAGUACAGUAGAGGUAGGCGGAAUUCGUGGUGUAGCGGUGAAAUGCUUAGAUAUCACGAAGAACUCCGAUUGCGAAGGCAGCCUGCUGGACUGUAACUGACGCUGAUGCUCGAAAGUGUG
RNAcentral lists this ribosomal RNA (419 nucleotides) under uncultured bacterium. Its description in RNAcentral is "bacterial SSU rRNA". It matches the Rfam family "Bacterial small subunit ribosomal RNA", at positions 347 to 763 of the family's 1533-position model. The record is from RNAcentral.